RNAcentral lists this long non-coding RNA (913 nucleotides) under Nicotiana benthamiana. RNAcentral's name for it is "long non-coding RNA (NBEN_LNC033846)". Lineage: Eukaryota; Viridiplantae; Streptophyta; Magnoliopsida; Solanales; Solanaceae. The record is from RNAcentral.
GAAGAGUUCUAGUUAUCUUCAACUUCUAACUCCUUCCUUAUUUAGGAUAGAGUUUUCUUCGAAUAAGGAGUCCUUAUCCUUGUCAGUUAUGCAAUAUUUUCCUUCAGGAGAUAUGAUAUAACCUCUUAAGCUUAUCUCCUUCACGUGCAUGCCUUGUGCUUGAAUUUGCUCGUGUCUUUACACACUGUGUAUGAACCUGGUUCAUGCUUGAGCUCCUUUGUCAAUAAUCAAAACCAAAUUCAUUUAGUCCAAUGCCUACCAUUGAGGCAUGAAAUAUGCCUGUUAUAUUCUUUCUCUCUCUCUCUCUCUCUCUCUCUCUCUCUCUCUCUCUCUCUCUCUCUCUCUGUUUCUUNNNNNNNNNNNNNNNNNNNNNNNUUUCUCUCUCUCUCUCUCUCUCUCUCUCUCUCUCUCUCUCUCUCUCUCUCUCUCUCUCUCUCUCUCUCUUCCAUAUAUCUCUUUCUAUCAGCAAGAUUCUCAAUCCUCUUUUUUCUCGCUCAAAUAUAACACGACCUUUUUGACAUCUCGAAUUCGGUUUGUUGUUAAACUUACGUAACUUCUAGACUAUAAGAAAAAGGUAAUAUUACCACUGCCACUUUUGUGCUACAUUCUCAGAUCAACAUUCUCUAUCAACUCGUAUCCAGGCGGUUCGCUGACUAUUGGUGAAUAGAUCUGGCAAUGCUUGUACCAGAGAAGAUUAGAGUGCCAAGUUUUUGAUUGUCUCUAUUUUUAGUUUAAUACUGUUAAAGAAUGAAUGUGAACAUAAAGAAUAAAUGUAAACAUAAAUAAUAAAAUGUAGAUGGAUUACUUGUACUAUACAUAGAUAGAAUAAGUAUUGAGAUUUGAUAGUAGAUUUUUAGGAUUUUCCUUUUACUUCUUUUCGUUAUUAGGAUCUUAUGUGUGUAUAUAUAUAUAU